RNAcentral lists this ribosomal RNA (97 nucleotides) under Streptomyces fradiae. Lineage: Bacteria; Bacillati; Actinomycetota; Actinomycetes; Kitasatosporales; Streptomycetaceae. The record is from RNAcentral.
AUAGCGUGAGGGAAACGCCCGGUUACAUUCCGAACCCGGAAGCUAAGCCUUUCAGCGCCGAUGGUACUGCAGGGGGGACCCUGUGGGAGAGUAGGAC